Molecule: ribosomal RNA, 742 nt
Filed under: bacterium W5(2005)
Lineage: Bacteria
Description: bacterial SSU rRNA
Rfam family: Bacterial small subunit ribosomal RNA
Source: RNAcentral
AUGAACGCUGGCGGCGUGCUUACACAUGCAAGUCGAACGGUGAACACGGAGCUUGCUCUGUGGGAUCAGUGGCGAACGGGUGAGUAACACGUGAGCAACCUGCCCCUGACUCUGGGAUAAGCGCUGGAAACGGCGUCUAAUACUGGAUAUGUGACGUGACCGCAUGGUCUGCGUCUGGAAAGAAUUUCGGUUGGGGAUGGGCUCGCGGCCUAUCAGCUUGUUGGUGAGGUAAUGGCUCACCAAGGCGUCGACGGGUAGCCGGCCUGAGAGGGUGACCGGCCACACUGGGACUGAGACACGGCCCAGACUCCUACGGGAGGCAGCAGUGGGGAAUAUUGCACAAUGGGCGCAAGCCUGAUGCAGCAACGCCGCGUGAGGGACGACGGCCUUCGGGUUGUAAACCUCUUUUAGCAGGGAAGAAGCGAAAGUGACGGUACCUGCAGAAAAAGCGCCGGCUAACUACGUGCCAGCAGCCGCGGUAAUACGUAGGGCGCAAGCGUUAUCCGGAAUUAUUGGGCGUAAAGAGCUCGUAGGCGGUUUGUCGCGUCUGCUGUGAAAUCCGGAGGCUCAACCUCCGGCCUGCAGUGGGUACGGGCAGACUAGAGUGCGGUAGGGGAGAUUGGAAUUCCUGGUGUAGCGGUGGAAUGCGCAGAUAUCAGGAGGAACACCGAUGGCGAAGGCAGAUCUCUGGGCCGUACUGACGCUGAGGAGCGAAAGGGUGGGGAGCAAACAGGCUUAGAUA